CGGACGGGUGAGUAAUGUAUGGGGAUCUGCCUGAUGGCGGGGGAUAACUACUGGAAACGGUAGCUAAUACCGCAUAAUGUCUGCGGACCAAAGCGGGGGACCUCCGGGCCUCGCGCCAUCAGGUGAACCAUAUGGGAUUAGCUAGUAGGUAAGGUAACGGCUUACCUAGGCGACGAUCCCUAGCUGGUCUGAGAGGAUGAUCAGCCACACUGGGACUGAGACACGGCCCAG
Molecule: ribosomal RNA, 231 nt
Filed under: uncultured bacterium
Lineage: Bacteria
Description: partial 16S ribosomal RNA
Rfam family: Bacterial small subunit ribosomal RNA
Source: RNAcentral